UGCAGUCUUUUUUUUAGAUAAGUGGUUCUUUACAAUUGACCUCACUGGCCAAAAUGGCUGCCACAGAGAACGUAGUUAAUGGGCCCCACCUCCUUCCUUCAUGGAUACUGGGGAUAAAUAUGUGCUACAGGCAAAC
Dunckerocampus dactyliophorus (ringed pipefish) is the source of this 136-nucleotide small nucleolar RNA. RefSeq annotates it as small nucleolar RNA SNORA5. The transcript has a single exon. The record is from RefSeq and is a predicted model, not a curated record. Lineage: Eukaryota; Metazoa; Chordata; Actinopteri; Syngnathiformes; Syngnathidae.